Molecule: ribosomal RNA, 325 nt
Filed under: uncultured eukaryote
Lineage: Eukaryota
Description: partial 18S ribosomal RNA
Rfam family: Eukaryotic small subunit ribosomal RNA
Source: RNAcentral
CCCUUAGAUGUUCUGGGCCGCACGCACGCUACACUGAUGCAUUCAACGAGCCUAUCCUUGACCGACAGGUCCGGGUAAUCUUUGAAUCUGCAUCGUGACGGGGAUAGAUUAUUGCAAUUAUUAAUCUUCAACGAGGAAUGCCUAGUAGGCGCAAGUCAUCAGCUUGCGUCGAUUACGUCCCUGCCCUUUGUACACACCGCCCGUCGCUCCUACCGAUUGGGUGUGCUGGUGAAAUGUUCGGAUCGGCCGUUUGUCGCGGUUUCCGCGGCUCGUGGCUGAGAAGUUCAUUAAACCCUCCCACCUAGAGGAAGGAGAAGUCGUAACA